This 793-nucleotide small RNA is filed under the name Pongo abelii (Sumatran orangutan). RNAcentral describes it as "retained intron". The record is from RNAcentral. Lineage: Eukaryota; Metazoa; Chordata; Mammalia; Primates; Hominidae.
GUGCAGUUACUGCCAUCACGGCGGCCGCGGUGGCGUCCUGGAGCCCUUCUCAGUGCUGAAGCUGCUGAAAGAUGGCAGAAGAAGUGGUGGUAGUAGCCAAAUUUGAUUAUGUAGCCCAACAAGAACAAGAGUUGGACAUCAAGAAGAAUGAGAGAUUAUGGCUUCUGGAUGAUUCUAAGUCCUGGUGGCGAGUUCGAAAUUCCAUGAAUAAAACAGGUUUUGUGCCUUCUAACUAUGUGGAAAGGAAAAACAGUGCUCGGAAAGCGUCUAUUGUAAAAAACCUAAAGGAUACCUUAGGUAAGAUUUUUUUUAUUAAAAGAAAAUCAACUUUGUUUUAAAUGAAACCUGCAACUUAGUUCUUUGUACAUAAUUCUGGCAGCAGUGUGCAUAAUUGACUUGAAAAGGCAAGGGCUAGGUAAGUUUGACUCAUAGCAGGUGGUCAACCCAGAAGACCAAUGAAGGUCAUAAGCGUUAACAUGCAGUUUCUGUAAAUCUAGGCCCACGCUCCAAGUCAAGGCAGAGUGGUGCCAAUGAGUAGAACUGUCACCUUCUAGCAGGGGCUCUUUGAACCAUGAAUGACUGUUGGAGUUUAGACUUACAGGCAGAAUUGCCUCUUUGGCACCAAGGCAACUUAUGUACAUGGCACAUAAUGAAUUUUAACAUCUAAUGACCUUAUGUUUUGAACUUCACUUAAAACCCUCCAUUUUAUUUUUCUAUUUGAUAAGAGAACUGUGGAUCAUUACUGUACAUUAGCACCUACAGAGCUCUUUUCUAUUUUGUUUCUCUUUUUCCC